AACACAUGCAAGUCGAGCGGUAAGGCCUCGGGGGUACACGAGCGGCGAACGGGUGAGUAACACGUGAGCAAUCUGCCCUUCACACGGGGAUAACCACCGGAAACGGUGGCUAAUACCCGAUACGACCACUUCAGGCAUCUGAUGGUGGUGGAAAGUUCCGGCGGUGGGGGAUGAGCUCGCGGCCUAUCAGCUUGUUGGUGGGGUAAUGGCCUACCAAGGCAACGACGGGUAGCCGGCCUGAGAGGGUGACCGGCCACACUGGGACUGAGACACGGCCCAGACUCCUACGGGAGGCAGCAGUGGGGAAUAUUGGACAAUGGGCGAAAGCCUGAUCCAGCAACGCCGCGUGAGGGAUGACGGCCUUCGGGUUGUAAACCUCUUUCAGCAGGGACGAAGCGCAAGUGACGGUACCUGCAGAAGAAGCACCGGCCAACUACGUGCCAGCAGCCGCGGUAAUACGUAGGGUGCGAGCGUUGUCCGGAAUUAUUGGGCGUAAAGGGCUCGUAGGCGGUUUGUCGCGUCGGGAGUGAAAACUCAGGGCUUAACCCUGAGCCUGCUUCCGAUACGGGCAGACUAGAGGUAUGCAGGGGAGAACGGAAUUCCUGGUGUAGCGGUGAAAUGCGCAGAUAUCAGGAGGAACACCGGUGGCGAAGGCGGUUCUCUGGGCAUUACCUGACGCUGAGGAGCGAAAGUGUGGGGGAGCGAACAGG
RNAcentral lists this ribosomal RNA (710 nucleotides) under uncultured Actinomycetes bacterium. RNAcentral describes it as "bacterial SSU rRNA". It matches the Rfam family "Bacterial small subunit ribosomal RNA", at positions 50 to 776 of the family's 1533-position model. The record is from RNAcentral. Lineage: Bacteria; Bacillati; Actinomycetota; Actinomycetes.